GAUAAUACGUUGAUGAGGACAGUAAACUAAAAUCUUAUUUUCAGAGAGAGAAUAUGUUGGUGGAAUUAUUCUUAAAUAGCUUUAGUUGAAAACCACCUCUGAGUGACUUUAAUACAGUCCGUCUAUUACCACGUUACGGUAAUUUCAAGUGAUCUAAUACUCUACUUGUUUAAUUAAUAUAGGUAUAUUUUUAAAAUUAAAUAGGUGUAUUAGAUAAUUAGAGUGGAACCACGGAUAUUACUUCGUCUCUAUA
This 253-nucleotide non-coding RNA is filed under the name Clostridium botulinum. RNAcentral's name for it is "T-box sequence". It matches the Rfam family "T-box leader". From Rfam's summary of the family: Uncharged tRNA acts as the effector for transcription antitermination of genes in the T-box leader family. T-boxes are found upstream of many aminoacyl-tRNA synthetase genes and some amino acid biosynthetic genes usually in Gram-positive bacteria. The anticodon of a specific tRNA base pairs to a specifier sequence within the T-box motif, and the NCCA acceptor tail of the tRNA base pairs to a conserved bulge in the T-box antiterminator hairpin. Lineage: Bacteria; Bacillati; Bacillota; Clostridia; Eubacteriales; Clostridiaceae. The record is from RNAcentral.